This 541-nucleotide ribosomal RNA is filed under the name uncultured bacterium. Its description in RNAcentral is "partial 16S ribosomal RNA". It matches the Rfam family "Bacterial small subunit ribosomal RNA", at positions 355 to 889 of the family's 1533-position model. The record is from RNAcentral.
UGGGGAAUUUUGGACAAUGGGCGAAAGCCUGAUCCAGCAAUGCCGCGUGUGUGAAGAAGGCCUUCGGGUUGUAAAGCACUUUUGUCCGGAAAGAAAUCCUUGGCUCUAAUACAGUCGGGGGAUGACGGUACCGGAAGAAUAAGCACCGGCUAACUACGUGCCAGCAGCCGCGGUAAUACGUAGGGUGCAAGCGUUAAUCGGAAUUACUGGGCGUAAAGCGUGCGCAGGCGGUUUGCUAAGACCGAUGUGAAAUCCCCGGGCUCAACCUGGGAACUGCAUUCGUGACUGCAAGGCUAGAGUAUGGCAGAGGGGGUAGAAUUCCACGUGUAGCAGUGAAAUGCGUAGAGAUGUGGAGGAAUACCGAUGGCGAAGGCAGCCCCUGGGCCAAAUACUGACGCUCAUGCACGAAAGCGUGGGGAGCAAACAGGAUUAGAUACCCUGGUAGUCCACGCCCUAAAACGAUGUCAACUAGUUGUUGGGGAUUCAUUUCCUUAGUAACGUAGCUAACGCGUGAAGUUGACCGCCUGGGGAGUACGGUCGC